Molecule: ribosomal RNA, 253 nt
Filed under: uncultured bacterium
Lineage: Bacteria
Description: partial 16S ribosomal RNA
Rfam family: Bacterial small subunit ribosomal RNA
Source: RNAcentral
UACAGAGGGGGUAAGCGUUAUUCGGAAUUAUUGGGCGUAAAGGGCGCGUAGGCGGCUUGGCAAGUGGAUGGUGAAAUCCCUCGGCUUAACCGAGGAACUGCCGUCCAAACUGCUUCGCUUGAGACCGGGAGAGGUGAGUGGAAUUCCCAGUGUAGCGGUGAAAUGCGUAGAUAUUGGGAGGAACACCAGUGGCGAAGGCGGCUCACUGGACCGGUACUGACGCUGAGACGCGAAAGCGUGGGGAGCAAACAGG